Molecule: ribosomal RNA, 2202 nt
Filed under: Campylobacter jejuni
Lineage: Bacteria; Pseudomonadati; Campylobacterota; Epsilonproteobacteria; Campylobacterales; Campylobacteraceae
Description: partial 23S ribosomal RNA
Rfam family: Bacterial large subunit ribosomal RNA
Source: RNAcentral
CUUAGUACCCUCAGGAAAAGAAAUCAAUAGAGAUUGCGUCAGUAGCGGCGAGCGAAAGCGCAAGAGGGCAAACCCAGUGCUUGCACUGGGGGUUGUAGGACUGCAAUGUGCAAGAGCUGAGUUUAGCAGAACAUUCUGGAAAGUAUAGCCAUAGAGGGUGAUAGUCCCGUAUGCGAAAAACAAAGCUUAGCUAGCAGUAUCCUGAGUAGGGCGGGACACGAGGAAUCCUGUCUGAAUCCGGGUCGACCACGAUCCAACCCUAAAUACUAAUACCAGAUCGAUAGUGCACAAGUACCGUGAGGGAAAGGUGAAAAGAACUGAGGUGAUCAGAGUGAAAUAGAACCUGAAACCAUUUGCUUACAAUCAUUCAGAGCACUAUGUAGCAAUACAGUGUGAUGGACUGCCUUUUGCAUAAUGAGCCUGCGAGUUGUGGUGUCUGGCAAGGUUAAGCAAACGCGAAGCCGUAGCGAAAGCGAGUCUGAAUAGGGCGCUUAGUCAGAUGCUGCAGACCCGAAACGAAGUGAUCUAUCCAUGAGCAAGUUGAAGCUAGUGUAAGAACUAGUGGAGGACUGAACCCAUAGGCGUUGAAAAGCCCCGGGAUGACUUGUGGAUAGGGGUGAAAGGCCAAUCAAACUUCGUGAUAGCUGGUUCUCUCCGAAAUAUAUUUAGGUAUAGCGUUGUGUCGUAAUAUAAGGGGGUAGAGCACUGAAUGGGCUAGGGCAUACACCAAUGUACCAAACCCUAUCAAACUCCGAAUACCUUAUAUGUAAUCACAGCAGUCAGGCGGCGAGUGAUAAAAUCCGUCGUCAAGAGGGAAACAACCCAGACUACCAGCUAAGGUCCCUAAAUCUUACUUAAGUGGAAAACGAUGUGAAGUUACUUAAACAACCAGGAGGUUGGCUUAGAAGCAGCCAUCCUUUAAAGAAAGCGUAAUAGCUCACUGGUCUAGUGAUUUUGCGCGGAAAAUAUAACGGGGCUAAAGUAAGUACCGAAGCUGUAGACUUGCACACAACUUAGAUUAUUUAAGUUGAGAAUAUAAAAAACUAAGUUAUAUGUUUUAAGUUAUAUUUUUACUGAUUUUUAUAGAGUAAAGAUAGAAAUAAAACUUAGUAAAAUCAAUAAAAAUAUUCUUAGGCUAAAGUUAAGUAGUUUAAGUUGUGUGCAAGUGGUAGGAGAGCGUUCUAUUUGCGUCGAAGGUAUACCGGUAAGGAGUGCUGGAGCGAAUAGAAGUGAGCAUGCAGGCAUGAGUAGCGAUAAUUAAUGUGAGAAUCAUUAACGCCGUAAACCCAAGGUUUCCUACGCGAUGCUCGUCAUCGUAGGGUUAGUCGGGUCCUAAGUCGAGUCCGAAAGGGGUAGACGAUGGCAAAUUGGUUAAUAUUCCAAUACCAACAUUAGUGUGCGAUGGAAGGACGCUUAGGGCUAAGGGGGCUAGCGGAUGGAAGUGCUAGUCUAAGGUUGUAGGAGCUUAUACAGGCAAAUCCGUAUAAGAACACUCCGAGAACUGAAAGGCUUUUUGAAGUCUUCGGAUGGAUAGAAGAACCCCUGAUGCCGUCGAGCCAAGAAAAGUUUCUAAGUUUAGCUAAUGUUGCCCGUACCGUAAACCGACACAGGUGGGUGGGAUGAGUAUUCUAAGGCGCGUGGAAGAACUCUCUUUAAGGAACUCUGCAAAAUAGCACCGUAUCUUCGGUAUAAGGUGUGGUUAGCUUUGUAUUAGGAUUUACUCCGAAAGCAAGGAAACUUACAACAAAGAGUCCCUCCCGACUGUUUACCAAAAACACAGCACUCUGCUAACUCGUAAGAGGAUGUAUAGGGUGUGACGCCUGCCCGGUGCUCGAAGGUUAAUUGAUGGGGUUAGCAUUAGCGAAGCUCUUGAUCGAAGCCCGAGUAAACGGCGGCCGUAACUAUAACGGUCCUAAGGUAGCGAAAUUCCUUGUCGGUUAAAUACCGACCUGCAUGAAUGGCGUAACGAGAUGGGAGCUGUCUCAAAGAGGGAUCCAGUGAAAUUGUAGUGGAGGUGAAAAUUCCUCCUACCCGCGGCAAGACGGAAAGACCCCGUGGACCUUUACUACAGCUUGACACUGCUACUUGGAUAAGAAUGUGCAGGAUAGGUGGGAGGCUUUGAGUAUAUGACGCCAGUUGUAUAUGAGCCAUUGUUGAGAUACCACUCUUUCUUAUUUGGGUAGCUAACCAGCUUGAGUUAUC